This 371-nucleotide long non-coding RNA is filed under the name Rattus norvegicus (Norway rat). RNAcentral describes it as "long non-coding RNA NONRATT027353". Lineage: Eukaryota; Metazoa; Chordata; Mammalia; Rodentia; Muridae. The record is from RNAcentral.
AACACCAUAAGAACAGCAAGAGCCCCUCACCUCGGCACGAGACACCGGUCCCAUCGAUGGUCACCUUACACACUGCACACACUGGAGCCUUCUUCCGGAAAACCUUCUCCCGGAAGCUGUGCGGUUCUGCUUUCCUAGGCUGCGAGAGGGAUGACAGACAAAUAGGGUUAUGAGUUCCUAGUGGGCCCAUCUCCAAGGCUGGGCAGGGACCUUUCCUUAGAGCGACUGCAUCCCUCUCUUCCAGCCAAAAGUCUCUGAACUCUAAGGCACACUUGGCCACAGCUGUUCCAGGGUAGUCAUGAGGCCUGUCCUCUACAGGGCUUGGAAUGUGACCCCUUGCGUCACCUUGGUUGGGUUAACUCCUCCCUGAG